Molecule: ribosomal RNA, 450 nt
Filed under: uncultured bacterium
Lineage: Bacteria
Description: partial 16S ribosomal RNA
Rfam family: Bacterial small subunit ribosomal RNA
Source: RNAcentral
GUGGGGAAUUUUGGACAAUGGGCGCAAGCCUGAUCCAGCAAUGCCGCGUGCAGGAAGAAGGCCUUCGGGUUGUAAACUGCUUUUGUACGGAACGAAAAGGCUCUGGUUAAUACCUGGGGCUCAUGACGGUACCGUAAGAAUAAGCACCGGCUAACUACGUGCCAGCAGCCGCGGUAAUACGUAGGGUGCAAGCGUUAAUCGGAAUUACUGGGCGUAAAGCGUGCGCAGGCGGCUUUGUAAGACGGAUGUGAAAGCCCCGGGCUCAACCUGGGAAGUGCAUUCGUGACUGCAAGGCUAGAGUGUGUCAGAGGGAGGUGGAAUUCCGCGUGUAGCAGUGAAAUGCGUAGAGAUGCGGAGGAACACCGAUGGUGAAGGCAGCCUCCUGGGAUAACACUGACGCUCAGGCACGAAAGCGUGGGGAGCAAACAGGAUUAGAUACCCUAGUAGUCC